AUGGCGGGUCGGACGGUCGCGGCUCCGCAUGGAGCUGAGGAAAGUCCGGGCACCAAAGGGCAAGGCACUCGUUAAGAGCGAGGCUGUCUGCGGGUGACCGCAGUCAGACGGAAAGUGUCACAGAAACUAUACCGCCAGUCAGCGGGUUGAGGUUACCGCUGGCUGGUAAGGGUGAAAAAGUGCGGUAAGAGCGCACUAUCCGGUAUGGUGACAUACCGGAUGGACAAACCCUGCCUGGUGCAAGACCAAACAGGGAAGAGGACUUGCCCGGUCCGCUAUCAUUCCCGGGUAGGUCGCUGGAGGUGCGCGGGCAACUGCGCAUCCAAGAGAAAUGACCGUCGCUCCGUAAGGAGUACAGAACCCGGCUUACAGACCCGCCUUCGUG
Molecule: RNase P RNA, 385 nt
Filed under: Caldifarciminota bacterium
Lineage: Bacteria; Pseudomonadati; Caldifarciminota
Description: candidate division WOR-3 bacterium (hot springs metagenome) RNase P RNA component class A
Rfam family: Bacterial RNase P class A
About the family: Ribonuclease P (RNase P) is a ubiquitous endoribonuclease, found in archaea, bacteria and eukarya as well as chloroplasts and mitochondria. Its best characterised activity is the generation of mature 5'-ends of tRNAs by cleaving the 5'-leader elements of precursor-tRNAs.
Source: RNAcentral